UGUCCCUUCGGGGACAUCCGAGUAAAAUUGGAACGAUACCGAGAAGAUUAGCAUGGCUCUCGCGCAUAGUGAUGACGCACAACAAGAAAUGGUCCAAAAAUUU
This is a small nuclear RNA of Lolium rigidum, 103 nucleotides long. NCBI's taxonomy places the organism in Eukaryota, Viridiplantae, Streptophyta, Magnoliopsida, Poales, Poaceae. The record is from RefSeq and is a predicted model, not a curated record.